Molecule: ribosomal RNA, 540 nt
Filed under: uncultured bacterium
Lineage: Bacteria
Description: bacterial SSU rRNA
Rfam family: Bacterial small subunit ribosomal RNA
Source: RNAcentral
CAGACGGGUGAGUAACGCGUGGGAACCUUCCCAGUGGUACGGAAUAGCUCAGGGAAACUUGGGGUAAUACCGUAUAAGCCCGAAAGGGAAAGAUUUAUCGCCAUUGGAUGGGCCCGCGUCGGAUUAGCUAGUUGGUGAGGUAAUGGCUCACCAAGGCGACGAUCCGUAGCUGGUCUGAGAGGAUGAUCAGCCACACUGGGACUGAGACACGGCCCAGACUCCUACGGGAGGCAGCAGUGGGGAAUAUUGGACAAUGGGCGCAAGCCUGAUCCAGCCAUGCCGCGUGAGUGACGAAGGCCUUAGGGUUGUAAAGCUCUUUUGGCGGGGACGAUAAUGACGGUACCCGCAGAAUAAGCCCCGGCUAACUUCGUGCCAGCAGCCGCGGUAAUACGAAGGGGGCUAGCGUUGUUCGGAAUCACUGGGCGUAAAGCGCACGUAGGCGGAUUUGUUAGUCAGGGGUGAAAUCCCGGGGCUCAACCUCGGAACUGCCUUUGAUACUGCAAGUCUCGAGUCCGGAAGAGGUGAGUGGAAUUCCUAGUG